GUCUACGGCCAUACCACCCUGAACGCGCCCGAUCUCGUCUGAUCUCGGAAGCUAAGCAGGGUCGGGCCUGGUUAGUACUUGGAGGGGGAGAAGUCCCAGAAAACCUUUAAUG
RNAcentral lists this ribosomal RNA (112 nucleotides) under Jaculus jaculus (lesser Egyptian jerboa). Lineage: Eukaryota; Metazoa; Chordata; Mammalia; Rodentia; Dipodidae. The record is from RNAcentral.